Molecule: ribosomal RNA, 138 nt
Filed under: uncultured bacterium
Lineage: Bacteria
Description: partial 16S rRNA
Rfam family: Bacterial small subunit ribosomal RNA
Source: RNAcentral
UGGGGAAUAUUGGACAAUGGGCGAAAGCCUGAUCCAGCAAUGCCGCGUGUGUGAAGAAGGUCUUCGGAUUGUAAAGCACUUUCGACGGGGACGAUGAUGACGGUACCCGUGAAGAAGCCCCGGCUAACUUCGUGCCAA